Molecule: non-coding RNA, 27 nt
Filed under: Homo sapiens (human)
Lineage: Eukaryota; Metazoa; Chordata; Mammalia; Primates; Hominidae
Source: RNAcentral
GGCCAAACACACCAUUCAUCACUGUGC